GCCCCACUGCACCACCACCCAAGAGCCACCUGAGGCUGGCCAGGAUGCAGCCUGUCGGCAUUAAGAAGAAGGUGCUUAGGCUGAUGACAGACUCCAAUGGCCCCAUGAGGCUCUCCGACGGGUGCGAGUGCACAGCACACGCCAGCAGUGUGAGGCAGGGCGUGGAGCAGUGCACGGGAGCAGCGGGGACACAGCCAUGGCAGCAAUGGGUCCUUCCAGAGCAAGAUGGCAGCCAGUUUUUGUAUGCCUGAGAAAAAAUGUAAAGGCAUUCUGCACUUGCUGGCAUCUGAGGAGACUGGAUUUAAAGAGUCCAAAGAGAAGGCGGUUGCAAUACUCCUAGCAAGGGAAAAUGAAGGCAUGGAUGGAAAUGAAGCUCAAGGGUAAGGAAGGCAGUGUUGUGGCGGGGGUGAGAGGCAGAGCUGCAAACAAAGGCAAAGUGAAAGAAAGAUGAGGAAUGAUGAGAGUCUGGAAUAAUGCCAAGGUAUGGACAGCUGAGGCAAACGAAGUGUGAGUCGAAGAAAGCAGAGGUUCUGUUUAUUUUCUUCAAAGGGGGAGGGAAAAGUGCCAUUUUAAGUACAAUGUCUGUGAACUCGUUUAUUAUGUUUAUCCAUUUGUUACGUUAAACAAAUAAGCCCUUGUGGCUAUGCAUGGGUGUCUUUAAGGACCCCUCUCUAAUCCACUUUGCUUCUGCCAAACAUGUAUACAAUGAACCACUUUCUUUGCUGGAAAUUGAUGUAUGUUCUGAGUGUUUGUUUGGAAUACUUUUUUUGCAUAUUGUAUCCAAGGCCUUGGAAUCCACAGAUUCUGGUGAUUAUGCUCUUUUCGCAUAAUGGAUUGAUCACUAGUGGGGAAUUCAUUAUGAAUCUUAAUAGGUGUUAACUCUAAUGUUUAAUAUAAUUGCGACCAUUUAAAUAACAAACUGUUAAUUGCUGGUGAUACCAGACGCAUCCAGUUAAUGUAUUUCUCCAGAAUGACUGAGUAUAACUGUUCUACUCAUUUGAAUAGGAAUCAAGCAGCAAAUUUUGUCUAUGCAAAUAGUCUACUGAAUAAUCUUAAUUGGAUAGCUGAGAAUGCAGAAAGGUAAAUAUGAGGCUUUCAGUGCCAUCAGAUAAAAUAGUUUAGACUCCCACAGUGUGGAUUUUCUGAGGUUUUAUCUAAAGUGAAUCACAAGGAGCCAAGGCAGAAAAAUGCAUUAUCUAACAAAUAAAACAGAGGUGGUUUGCCAGGGUUAGCCUCUCGUAGGCCACCGCCAUUGUAUUUACCUGUGCCU
This is a long non-coding RNA of Pelodiscus sinensis (Chinese soft-shelled turtle), 1270 nucleotides long. RefSeq lists it as uncharacterized. The record is from RefSeq and is a predicted model, not a curated record. NCBI's taxonomy places the organism in Eukaryota, Metazoa, Chordata, Testudines, Trionychidae.